ACAUCACUGACCAGACAAGAGUUAGGGUCACGUCUUAUUUAGUACAAAUAAAGCUUUGCUGUACAAUAUAUGUGAAUAUGAUGUUUAAUUACAGUAUCUGAAUGAGGUUCAAGUUAAAUUGUUAAAAACGGCGUUUAAACCCAGUGAAUAUGCCUAUUGCAGUGGAUCUCUCAUCUACUUGUUGAGAGCUGACAACUCAGUCGAUUCGUUAUGCCUGCCCGAGCCGGAAGGGGGAGCUCGCGGCCACCAUGCGUCAUCAUUCUAAUGCUGUCAGAGAUGGAAGUCCAUCCAGCCUUGUCGAGUUCUCAUUCCUGUAACGCUUUUUCAGGGAACAACGAUUGAUUGUGUCUGCACAGCCCUGUCAGUAUUUGCCCACUUUUUUUCAGCUAAACACCAGUUGCCGCGUGCAGUAAAUUGUGAAGCCCACCUACAACGCGCAUGCGUGGAUUCGAUGACGUCACGGUGGAGCUGCAGUUUACCGACCUGAGUUAGCGAUUUGUUUUCGCUCAGCACGGUUGCAAUUUUGCAUGUAAUGUUAGUACCAAACUUUGAGGACUUGUUGUACCAUACUACACACUGUAUUUGACACACAAGAGACAUUGGAUGGAUGGAUGGAUGGUUUACACUGCAUUAUUUCAGUAAUAUCGAUUGAUAAAAAAAUGAUAAAAAGCUCUUGUUCAUGCAGAAGGGUCACGAUAUUUGCUAUGCUGACACUGUAUGUUUAUAUUAGUGUGGCAUUUGGGUUACCAAAUAUGGCCCAUCCUUGCCCUAUAAAAUUCUACACAUAAAAAAACAAAUUAUGUUGUCACUACCUGAUUUUGACCACCAGCUCAGUGAAGUUGGGCCGCUCUCUGGGGUCGUAGGCCCAGCAGCGGGUCAUGAGGGAGUAGAGCGCUGGGGGGCAGUUUUCGGGCUUGGGCAGCCUGAUUCCUUGCUCCAACUGGUUGAUGACGUCUCGGUUCUCCAGCCAGAAGAACGGCUGCUGUCCUCGACUCAUGAUCUCCCACAUGCACACAGCUGUGGGGUCAAUGUAGGCGUGAGCCAACUUUUAUUUGUAUUUUACAACAAUGCUGCCCUCUUGUGGUGUACUUAUGAGGCACACCAGUGGAAGGACGCUCACCAAAAAGUCAACAUGAAUUAAAUGUCAUUUAAUGAAUGAAAGUGAACCAAAAACUCACCAAACAUCCAAACGUCGCUGGCCGAGGUGAAACGUCGAAAGUUAAUGGAUUCCGGCGCCAUCCACUUGAUAGGCAAUCGUGUCACAGAUGCUGCAAUUUUAGAUUUGCACUGCAUUACAGUGAGAGCUGUUUCUAAUAUUGUGGUUACCUUAUUCAGCCAGUAGAGCAUCACUAGAGUUUAUUUGUUUUAGUUUAAGACUAAUAACCUUUGUAGUACUCUUCAUCCUCAAUGUAU
Molecule: long non-coding RNA, 1413 nt
Organism: Dunckerocampus dactyliophorus (ringed pipefish)
Lineage: Eukaryota; Metazoa; Chordata; Actinopteri; Syngnathiformes; Syngnathidae
Exons: 3
Source: RefSeq, a predicted model, not a curated record